This is a non-coding RNA of Macaca mulatta (Rhesus monkey), 8387 nucleotides long. Lineage: Eukaryota; Metazoa; Chordata; Mammalia; Primates; Cercopithecidae. The record is from RefSeq and is a predicted model, not a curated record.
CCACUGCCGUCUAGCUUGGGCAAGAAGAGUGAAACUCUGCCUCAAAAAAAAAAAAGAAGUCGUAUCCGUAAUCCAAAUGAAAAAUGAUAGUGGCUUGGAUCAGAGUGGUAACACUGAACAUGAUGAGAAGUGUUUGGAUUCUGGAUAUAUGUUGAAAGUAGAACAGUAUAUCCUGGCAGAUAGAAAGUGGGGAGUAAUAGAAAGAAGGGAUUAGAGGAAGAUUCCAAGGUUUUGGGCAUGAGCAACAUAGAAUCAUGAGGAGGAAGAAAAUCCUUCCUUAUGUACUUUGUGCUUCUAAUGAUUCCGUGUGUCAUCUCUGUUUCAGUUUUCAUUCUACUCGCCAAACUGGUGAAAACUCAACCAGUUCCAGUGGCAUUGUGAAUGCUCUUAGUAAAUUCAGAGUAGCCCUAUGAAAAUCACUUUACUAGCUGUCGCUUCUGAGGGCACCACCACCUGUAGUACUGAAUGAACAAUGUAACAUCAACAUGAGGAUACUUGGGACACCCAGAAGAAUUAGAAGACAUAGACUCUCUAUUCUUUAAGCUUUAUUGUGUAUUUCACCAUGUAGGAUAGGUAAGCACUGCCUGGGUUUGGACCUUAGGCACAGGGCCUGGGGGUGGCAGUUGGUGCUUUCAGUUGACUUUGGAUCUUUGUGUGAUGUAAUUGGAGUCCAUUUACAUGGAGAUGGCUUUGAAGAAGCAAGGCCAAGAAAUAUUAAGUCUCAAGAGUUCAACCAAUCAGAAGGAAAAGACCUGUCCUAGGAUAUUGUGUAUAUUUUUGCAGUUAACUUAGAAGGCAUUCUUAUACCUCUUUUUUCUAAAUAUUUAAGAAAAGCCUCGCUAUGGCCUUAAAGUACUAACAUUAGGUCUGGUGGGGAGGUGGGGGAAGGAUUAACACAUAUGAAGAGAAAUACAAGUAAGUGUAAACAAGCAUAAAAAUAUGUGUUAUAACAAAAGUUCAUAUCCACAACGAAUUAUCUUUAUUAUGCUUUUCCCUUCUUUAUUUAUGGACUUAAUUUGCUGUCAUCUUAGGCAACUACUGUUAACAGUAUCUCAUUUGAUAAUUUGAUGUUGACAUCUCUCUAUUUUCUAAAUUUAGUUGAAUGCAAAGAAAAACUUUGAAAUGCAAAUAAGAGAUCAUUUCUCCUGCCCUUAAGAAAGAUUGGAACAUGACAAACCUUGAAUCAGUCUUGGAAAGAAUCAUCUAAUUACAAGAAAGUGUAAGAAUUCCAGGCCUUACCUCAGGCAGAUAAGGACUAGCUAUACAUGAAAUGCAGACUGUGGCUAACUUUAAUUCUUUCCCAAAUCAGAUUUUCAUGAGACAUUUUCAGUUCUUUGAGUGAGGCAAAUGAAUUUCUUUAAUAUUUUACAUAUCCAUUGUUAAAAUUCAAUGCAAAAACAACUCUAAUGUCAAAUAUAAAUUAUUUUGUUGUUAAGUUUAAUUUUGAAUAAUCUUCUUCUCUUUUCUUUGGCAUUAGAACAAAUUGCAAUUACUGAAGUCCAAAGAAUUAUAAAGCACUAUUUAAGCAUUUCCAUUAGAUAUCAAAAUUGAAGGAGAAUGCAACGACUGGUUUAUUAAUGGAGUAAAGUUUCUGAGAUAAGAUGGAGCCAGUUUAAAAGGUUUUAACAAGGAAGUACAAUACUCAGUUUUGGAAGGAGAGGAGACAACACGAUUUGGUCAUGACUUAGACUCUUAUCAUAAAAAAUACUAUUUCAAUUGUCUUUAUAAUUCAACCUAAUAAUAUGCUUUACUCUUUAACAAAAAGUAUAUUUCCUAUAUCUCUAAGGGUACACUUCUCUGAGAUUAAGCAAGCCAUUUGUAAAAGAUGAUUGAAUUGAAGAGGGAUCAUGUUCUUUUAAACGAUCUUUCCCAUGCCCCUGGCAUCACAGAGGCUGAAUCGGUCCCGGGCACUCAGCAUUCUCAGCAUUGGAUCAACCCUAACCUGCUUGUAUUUCUUUUGCUGCAGAGCAUAGACCCAUAAGCCCAGAUCAAACAUGUUGAAGUCUCACUCCUCCAUCUACUCAGUUGACCUCUUAACAAAAUUCUGUUUCUCUCUCUCCAUUUGUCUAUGAAAAGAGUUUUCAUUCUAAACUCUUCCAGUUUAACAAAGGGAAAAGGUUAACAAGAAAGUAAAUCCCCCCACUCCAAAAAAAAAAAAAGUGGUCCACAGUUUCCCACUGAAUUGGAGCCAAAAACUCUGCCAGUUUUGCUCUCAUAUCUCCGAGCUGCAGCCUGACCCUUCAUGUGACCAGUGGGGCUUGUUGUACAAGAUCUAUCUGGGCGCCUUUCUAAAAGUGCUAUCUUCGUCCAUAUUUCAAAACACUCACAGAUAUUUUAUCAUUAAUUAGUAUUCAUAUUAUGUCUCAAACAAUCUGUUCAAGAAUAGGGGAAGUGAACUAGUUGAACAGCUCUUCUGUUUGUCUGUUAAUUAACAUGGAUGAUGUAUGUAGAGCCGAAGGCCUUAUAAGGGGAGGAGGUGGUCAAGUGUUGGGCAGGUAAUCCCUAGAACAUUUAAAUGCUUACCUAUUUUGGACGCUGGGCUACUCCAAAAAAAAAAUUGUACUUGGCAAACAGGGUGGGGAGACACAGGCCUUUUUAAAAAUAGACCCAUGCCUCUUUGAUUCACAGCAUCCUGGAUUUGCUUUUCAUCAUGUUAACAUGCCACUUGGGAGCUGGCUGGACUCCCUUGUUCAGUGACAUAUAUUUCAUAGUGUUUUUUUAAAAACCAUUUGUUCUUUCAACCACAACAUGCUUUGAAUUUCUCUUUCAAAUUUGAGGAUGUAUAUAUAGAUUGAUCAAAACAAUAUUUUUAACAUUCCAAACAAUUUAGAAAGAUAGUGGAUGGGUGUCAGUUAAUGUAUUAUGCUCCUCUCUUCCUCCUCCCCCUCUUCAGCUGCUAAUCUUAGAACUUGUGUGCCAAAUUGUGUAAGAUAUUCUUCCAAUAGCUACAUGUGUGACUCUUUUGUGAGCUCUACAGACAGUUAUGAGGACAGAUUUGGAGUUGCAUAUGGGACUGUCACAUGGUUUGAUUUCCUUGUCUUCAGGCACUGAGAUUUCUUUUCACUGAGCUUUAAUACUGAGGAAUUUUUAGUUGUGGUAAAAGUUUAGCAAAGUCUCUAUUAAAUAAUUUACACAUUCUGGGAAUAGGGAAGGAAAAAAGUUUUUAUUCACCACCACUCUGUAUUCGGGAUCUAUAUAUACUAAAUAGUUCAUGUGUUUACUCUUUCCAAUAGUGAAAAAAACUUAGGGUUUUAUCACAGAAUUUUUAUGAAAAUCAGAAAGGAGUAAAGAGCCUUUAUUAUCUCCUUGCUCUUUUGGAGCAAGAUCUAGUAAACGUCUCAACAGAAAAAGUAGCAGAUGCUUUGUAAAAAGGUCUCAUAUCACUUAUGUCCAAUUAUAGAGGCUGAUUUGCAAAAAAAAAAAAAAAAAAAAAAAAAAAAUCAUCUAUCUAUGUCCUUAGGAGCCAAAAAUUCCAUGGCAUUAGUCUGUGAAAUAAGAUGCAAAUUCAUUUUCAACUUUAAAGACACAUAUCUGAAAUCUUGCUUUCAUGACCUGAAACCCACAGCCCCCAUCCCAUAAACACAGUGCCACCCUUGAGGAACACACAGACUUGAAGCAAGAUCUUUCUCCUAGUCCUAUUUUAAAUGUUCCUCAAGGAUAAAUAAUAUCCCAGUGAGACCUGUGUCCAAUUAAUUGGGGCAUAUAUUAUAAUAUUAUAAAAGUGUUAAUCACAUAAACUCAGAACUAAUUCUUUUAAGGCCCAGCAUAUGACUGCAUCUUAAAAUAGUGCAUGACUGUUUAUACACUAUUUAAAAUAGUGUAUGACAUAUGAUGUAGUGUAUGACUGUUCAUCCUUGUAUUAAUUUUGCCCUCUAAAACAAAUCAGCGGUUAAUUAUUCCGAGCUGUACCUUUAUUGGUCCAUGAGUAAACUCAGUCAACUUUGUUGCGCUGGGGGAAAAGUCUUAAUUUAGAAAUAAUAAUGAUGGCUAAUAACAAUAUAAUAAUAAAUUGCUAUAUUUCUUGAUUCCCUGUUCUGGCUCUAAACUCUAUAUAAUAGAUAUUUUAGAUACAUCUAAUCCCCAGAAUAACCUACCAAAAUAGGUAUUAUCACAAUUUGUCAAGUUAAGUAAGAACUCGAGAAGUAGCUUGAAUGAAGAGGGUAGUGUUCUCUUAUUUCAGUCCUUAAUGUACCUUUCCUGUUUUAGGUUGGAGAAGUCCUGUAUCUUACUGGGCAAAUUGCCCUGGUACCUUCCACAAUGAAAUUUGUUCGUGGUGGAAUACAAACAAAAGCUCCUCUGUCCUUAAGCCAUACCCUGAAAAUCCUGGAAGCUACACAUGGAGAUACCAGACUUCAGCACACUUUCAUGGCUCACUGUUAUGAAAUGUUAUGUUAAUGAACAGCCAGCUCACUUCCACUGCUCUGGAUACCUGGCAGAACUUAAAGACCCAUUAAAAGGAAAACCACACAAAUGUGAUGCAAUGGCACAGGUCGUAUCCUGACGGUGGUGGUAAUUCCUAGUCUUCCCAGAGAGGCUGCAACCAAGUGGCAUGUCACUGCAGCGGCAGAUGAACCAUUUAAAAGGAAGCAUUUUGCUUCGAAGAAGAAAGCUAAGGGUUUUCAAAUGGAAUGUAAAGCUGUGGCAUCCAGUUCUGCUUCCAGUGCAUCAGUCCUCAUCUCUUUACAAUGAAUGUCACCUUCUACCUCCUUACCUGAUGUACAUAGCACUCUAGAGGACCUGAUAACUGUACUUGUACAAGAAAGGGGAAGAACGUAAAAUUCACCAAGCUCCACCAUUGUGUUUUAGAAUAUUCUAUUUAAAGAUACAACAUUGUAAUGCUGAACUUCUGCAAGCAGGGAAGAGAGCAAGGCACAGAUGCUUCUGGUUAUGAUUCCAAGAUCAGUCACCUGCCUCCUUCAUGGAUAGUAAGGUGUUUUCUGAUCCAGUGAGAAGUUCUUGAAAAAUGAGAAGAAAGAGAGGUUUAAUUGUAACAUGGAUACAUUUUGGACUGGAUGCCAGCCACUUGAAUAAGGCUUGGCACUUGGCACAGUACCUGGCAGAUAGUACUUAAUGAAUGUCGGAUGGAUGGCAAAAAGAGACAACAGGGGAAACAGAAAGAAUGAAGGAAAGAAGGAAAUAGUUGGAAAAACAGUUUAGUUGAUCUGAUCUGCAUGCAAGUAUUUGGUCUCAGUAAUAUUUUCUAGAAGCUGUUCUAAGAGGAUCUAGGGGUGGAUGUUUAGCAUAAAACAUGUUUCAACAGUUUUAAUGGAUAUGGAUUUCUGAGCUAACUUACAUUAUUAUGACCUGUUAGUAGUAGCAGCACUUAGUUUCCUUGUUGAGUAAAGGAUGGGAACAAUUAUGUUGUGAUGACAGAUUUCCAUCAGGUUUUUUUUUUCUGCCACAUAUGUAGACGUGACUUAGUUUUAAUGUACCUGAAUACUCUCGUAGUAAAGUGUAUUGUGAUUUCAUCAAGGAGGGCAGUAAUUAUUAAGCAGAGGAAUCUUUAGUCUUUGUCUCUUUGAAUAUCUAACUGAUCUUAAAAAUAAAGUGGUUUGUCUAUUUGCAGUUGAUUUUCUACAUGUGUUUAUUUCCAGUAAUUCCAGCCUUCUUACCCUGGAAUAGUUUAACCCAUCUCUUAAUUGUCCCUAGCUGACGUCUAGAAGGUCUUUUUAAACUUCUUAACUGCACGGCAAGCCCUCAGUGGACACCUUGAUUUUGUCUGUUUGGGAAAAUGCCAAGCACUAAUGAGUAUUUUGUUUAAUGUAAUGGAAACUGAAAGUGCAUGGCUUCUUCCCUGACUGAUCAAUGCCCACUUCUGUUGUUUGAACAUAUCUGUACAUUCUAAAUUCAAAACGAAGGGUCACAAGAGGGCAGAGCACUUAGUGUCUGCCCAAGGAAGGACUUGAAGAUUCACAAGUUUUGUUUAUUUGGGCCCGGUAUAGACAGACAGUACUGGAGUUAGUACUCUAGGCCUCCUCCUCUGUGCUCAGAUAUGCAAUUUUUAUUAAACCCAAAGUCCGUAAUCUUAAACUUUUUUGUGUUAAUUUAACAAAAUAAUAAGGGAAUGAAUUAUGUUGUUGAAUUCUAAGCCAGGCAAUAUCUACUUGUAAGAAGUUACCCAUUUUUUAUUUCAUCAUUAUUUUUCAUAAAAUAUUUGGUAUAUAUUUACCUUAUUGUUUGCUUUUUCUGAAGUUCAAAUCACAAUGUGUCCAACACAGAAUUUUAAGUAAAUAAUUAAAGCAUUAUUUCUUAGUUAAAUAAACAGUAAUAUUUGCUGAAAAAUGAAAUCUUAAGCAAUUGAGUAGGCAAACAUGAUCAAGUAUGUUCGAGUGAAGAGUAACGAUUUCCAUGUGGUACUAACAUUCUGCACAGAGACUAAGUGGAAAGUGUAGAAGAUGUUUCAUUGAACCAUAUCUAGCUGAAUUGAUACAGAGCUCCUUUCGCUAGUGUUUGUAAUUUAUAGACUUCUUGUAUGUGCUAGAUAAUUUUCACGAGAAAAGAUUUCCAGCCAUUUAAAAUUUUAAAUGAGAUUUACCUUUCAUCCAAAGUGUCCUGGGUUUAGUGAUUUCAUUAAAGAUCAAUGGAGAUGAUAAGAAAAGUUUUGAAUCUAAAAAAUGGAAAUAAUUUCAUUCCUCAAAUUCAAAUUUAAUGACUCGCUUUCUCUUUAUUUCCAAGCCACCAUCUUGCUCGAUCAUACUAUCACCUUCCUUUGGAGACUGGAAAUAUACAAGCCUCCCCAAAUUACAGUUUAUAAUGGAAAGCUCCCCUGACCCUUAAUAAUUGUUACUUUACUGAAACACUGUAAUAUCUAAACUAAGUUGCUUAUUACACCAAACAUGAAGUCCUUUGACCCUUAGGGUUCAAUAUUGAUCAGCCUCACUUUUGUCAAUAUCACCUCUAAUGUCAACAUUUCAAUGUGAAAUAAAUUCAGUAAAGGAUAGUCUUCUUAAUCCACACACAUUAAAGAUGUUUAAUUCCUAUUCAUUACAAGUUUCACCCAGUUUAAGAAUUGUUUCUUCCAUACUCUCAGUUAAUAAUUGGAGACUGGGCAGCAUUGUAAGUAUGUGGUUAAAUGUCAUUACAAUAAGAAGUUAGCUGUAAGAUAACCUAUACCGAGGACUGGAUUCAUGGAAAAUAAUCUCUGAUAAAAUUACUCCAAAGGAAACUUGAAGCAAAUGUAUUACAAAUUCAUCAAACGUGACUGAGAUAUUUUUUAAUCCUGAGAUCAUGGAGGGAAAUGCUUUUAAAAAGAAUAUUCAGGUGCUUGCUUUGCCCUUGGAUAAUGCAAUAGAAGCUUGUGGUAUUUUUCAGAUUGUCAAAUGUGUAUCAAAGAGUUAUUCUCUUGGCAAAUUCCAUGAAUUUCAGUUCCAUUUCUUGACAAUUUAAAAUUUGAUUAUCCAAUUAUAACUAAAGGUCAUCAGUCUAAUGUGGCAACUUCAUGACAGUUUUAGUUACAAAAGAAUUUCUCAGUUUAGAGAGGAAACUGCCAUGUGAGAAUUUUUUAUUGAACUUUUAAGUUGGAUGGUAUUGUGAAAAGAAUUUUGUUUUCUUCUUGUGCUUUUACUAUUUAUUAAUAAAAAUAUAUACUUUUUGCCCUGCCCCAUGUUUAUAUCACAUGCCUCACCUCUCUGAAUAACAUUACCAAAUUAACAGCAAGUGCUCUCUGAUAUUGCUGAUAUUUAUCAUCAUUAGAUUUUGUCUUAAAUGUUUAUUUAGAGUUCCAUUUCUCUGUUUUAUUUUUAAUAACCAUAACCUGAAUAUCAUUUUCAGAACUAGAGAGAGUCAUUUUCAUUUCAAUCAUACUAUAAGUAGAAUUUCUGCCAAAAUGAAAAACCAGAAAAAUUGAGGACAUGGCAAAUAUUUUAACAUUAGUUUUAUUUGAUGUGAUGAUGGAAAAUUCCUCAGGCAAAACAUACCACAGGACCAGACAAAAUGGGUGCUGAGUGUCAGAAAGAUAGGAGAAUCUUUAUCCACAUCUCACCCCUAAAGAAAUCAACUUUGCAGUGGUAGAUGAGUUUGUUGAACAGCUGUUGAUUGUGUACCUGCUCUGUUCAAGAUCAACAGUGAAAACUCAUUGUUUUUCUGUUUUUGCAUCUUAAGAGUUCCAGACAUUGCUGGAAGCCCAGAUGGACAAGAUGGUGCCUGCACUGCUUCUCAUAUCUGUGACCCAUUUACCUAGAGAAGAAAUUAUCCGUGCAGCAUGCUGGUUAACACUUCGAUCAACAAACAAGAACUCUACCACCCUGCUUGAGGAGUGAGAUCUUCACUCUAACUGUUCUCAGCACAGCCUCCUGGUGCAAAGCUGGACUAAGUAUUUUAAUAUUACACUUUGCACCUCUUUUGUUCAACAGUAAGACCCAAAAUAAACCUUUCUGCCUAGGUAUGAA